This 237-nucleotide ribosomal RNA is filed under the name Triticum aestivum (bread wheat). Its description in RNAcentral is "partial small subunit ribosomal RNA". The record is from RNAcentral. Lineage: Eukaryota; Viridiplantae; Streptophyta; Magnoliopsida; Poales; Poaceae.
GAGGAGGACAAGGAAGGUGCGCUUCAGUGGCACAGUGAGAAGCUCGCAAUUGCAUUCAUGCUCCUGAGGACUCUUGGAAUACAGGUUCGGGUGGUAAAAAAAACCCUGCGACUAUGCUCUGGUUGUCAUGCAACAAUUAAGUGCAUAUCACAGAUUUAUAACUAGGAGAUGACAGUACGUGAUAGGAGUCGUUUCCAUCGCUUCAAGGAUGGUUCCUGCUCUUGCAAGGAUUUCUGA